AUUGUCACCUUUUUGAGUAGA
This 21-nucleotide microRNA is filed under the name Oryctolagus cuniculus (rabbit). Its description in RNAcentral is "ocu-miR-508-3p". Its record names the gene ocu-miR-508-3p. Lineage: Eukaryota; Metazoa; Chordata; Mammalia; Lagomorpha; Leporidae. The record is from miRBase by way of RNAcentral.